ACUCCUACGGGAGGCAGCAGUGGGGAAUAUUGCACAAUGGGCGCAAGCCUGAUGCAGCCAUGCCGCGUGUGUGAAGAAGGCCUUCGGGUUGUAAAGCACUUUCAGUCGUGAGGAAGGUAGUGUAGUUAAUAGCUGCAUUAUUUGUACGUUAGCGACAGAAGAAGCACCGGCUAACUCCGUGCCAGCAGCCGCGGUAAGUACGGAGGGUGCGAGCGUUAAUCGGUAAUUACUGGGCGUAAAGCGCAUGCAGGUGGUUUGUUAAGUCAGAUGUGAAAGCCCGGGGCUCAACCUCGGAAUAGCAUUUGAAACUGGCAGACUAGAGUACUGUAGAGGGGGUAGAAUUUCAGGUGUAGCGGUGAAAUGCGUAGAGAUCUGAAGG
This 379-nucleotide ribosomal RNA is filed under the name uncultured bacterium. RNAcentral's name for it is "bacterial SSU rRNA". It matches the Rfam family "Bacterial small subunit ribosomal RNA", at positions 335 to 704 of the family's 1533-position model. The record is from RNAcentral.